CUCUGUGACUCCUACGGGAGGCAGCAGUGGGAAUAUUGCACAAUGGGGGAAACCCUGAUGCAGCCAUGCCGCGUGUGUGAAGAAGGCCUUCGGGUUGUAAAGCACUUUCAGUAGGGAGGAAGGUAGUGUAGUUAACACCUGAAACAUUAUUUGACGUUACCUACAGAAGAAGCACCGGCUAACUCCGUGCCAGCAGCCGCGGUAAUACGGAGGGUGCGAGCGUUAAUCGGAAUUACUGGGCGUAAAGCGCAUGCAGGCGGCCUGUUAAGUCAGAUGUGAAAGCCCGGGGCUUAACCUCGGAAUUGCAUUUGAAACUGGCAGGCUAGAGUCUUGUAGAGGGGGUAGAAUUUCAGGUGUAGCGGUGAAAUGCGUAGAGAUCUGAAGGAAUACCAGUGGCGAAGGCGGCCCCCUGGACAAAGACUGACGCUCAGAUGCGAAAGCGUGGGGAGCAAACAGGAUUAGAUACCCUGGUAG
RNAcentral lists this ribosomal RNA (474 nucleotides) under uncultured bacterium. RNAcentral's name for it is "bacterial SSU rRNA". It matches the Rfam family "Bacterial small subunit ribosomal RNA", at positions 328 to 793 of the family's 1533-position model. The record is from RNAcentral.